UGCCAGCAGCCGCGGUAAUACGAAGGGUGCUAGCGUUGUUCGGAAUUACUGGGCGUAAAGAGCAUGUAGGCGGACUGUUAAGUCUGAUGUGAAAGCCCGGGGCUCAACCCCGGAAUAGCGCUUGAUACUGAACUGCUUGAGACCGGAAGAGGGUAGUGGAAUUCCCAGUGUAGAGGUGAAAUUCGUAGAUAUUUGGAGGAACACCAGUGGCGAAGGCGGCUCACUGGCUCGAUACUGACGCUGAGGUACGAAAGUGUGGGGAGCAAACAGGAUUAGAUA
Molecule: ribosomal RNA, 279 nt
Filed under: uncultured bacterium
Lineage: Bacteria
Description: partial 16S ribosomal RNA
Rfam family: Bacterial small subunit ribosomal RNA
Source: RNAcentral